CCUACGGGAGGCAGCAGUGGGGAAUAUUGGGCAAUGGGCGCAAGCCUGACCCAGCAACGCCGCGUGAAGGAAGAAGGCUCUCGGGUUGUAAACUUCUUUUAUCAGGGACGAAGCAAGUGACGGUACCUGAUGAAUAAGCCUCGGCUAACUACGUGCCAGCAGCCGCGGUAAUACGUAGGUGGCAAGCGUUAUCCGGAUUUACUGGGUGUAAAGGGCGUGUAGGCGGGAAAGCAAGUCAGAUGUGAAAACCAUGGGCUCAACCUGUGGGCUGCAUUUGAAACUGUUUUUCUUGAGUACUGGAGAGGCAGGCGGAAUUCCUGGUGUAGCGGUGAAAUGCGUAGAUAUUAGGAGGAACACCAGUGGCGAAGGCGGUCUGCUGGACAGCAACUGACGCUGAGGCGCGAAAGCGUGGGGAGCAAACAGGAUUAGAUACCCCUGUAGUC
This 443-nucleotide ribosomal RNA is filed under the name uncultured bacterium. Its description in RNAcentral is "partial 16S ribosomal RNA". It matches the Rfam family "Bacterial small subunit ribosomal RNA", at positions 338 to 795 of the family's 1533-position model. The record is from RNAcentral.